CCCUGUUUGGGUUUACCUUCCUCAUGUGAAUGAAUCCUGCAGAGAGCCAGACUGCAGGUCCAGCAGCAGCCCUUUCUCUGCUGAUUUUAUUUCUCUCUCAUGCAGGCUGAUGUUUGUUAUACAUUAAUAACAUCUAGAAGGAAUUUGAAUCAGGUUAAGCCACUCAUCAUUGCAAAGACAUCUGAUCUUAAAAUGGAUCAUUUCUGGGUUCUUGUGCUUGUUUGACACAUUUUGUCUUCUCAUUUUCUUCAAAUUAAAACCAGCAGCUUUAAAAGACUUCAAAUUUUUUCCCUUCAACUGCCAUUGUAUGCUGGUUCUGGCCAAACCUCACUCUGAGGGCAGCUCUACCCGAAAGAGAGACUAAUCAACUGACCGACCAACACUGCUAUCAAAGAACCAGAACCAGAUGCAUUAAAACCACCUGCAGGUACGUCUCAUGCCAAUGCUGUAUUAACUAUUUAUGAUGUAUUUAAUAUAUUCAUUAAUAAUUAUGUCUGUCAACAAACUUGUCAUUGGAUAAUAAAUGUGUGGUAUUAAUGCAGACUGCACAUAGUAAAGUAGUUUCUACAAAUUUUAAGUUACUUUUUAAUAACAUUCAAAUUUAUGUGUAAAGGUGUUCAAAAAUAUAUGUACAUUUUAGUGGGAACCUGAAGUAUAUGACGUAACUACUCAAACUUACAUAACAUACCAUGGACCACAUUAGGAUAGCAUAUAAAACUACUUUCUAUUUGUUUUCUUUUGCUUUCAUUCUCUUUUUUCCUGCCUUAACUGAUAAGAAAAGUAAUAUUUUCCCAUGGAUAUUUUCAGGGCACCGCAGGCCCGACCUAAACCGGCUGUACUGUAGUAUGGUGAUCUGCUGCAUACAGUUUUUUUCUGAAUGGGUGUCACAAAUUCAAAUGAAAUUGAAUGCCAUCUCAGCUGGUAAUGAAACUUAACCUCAAACUUUCAUCACUUUCAAAAUAUCAAAACAAAUGCCAGAGAUUGCAACACUGGAAAAUGUUGCAAUCCUUACUCAGUAUUGCUUUAUACAGCAGCUUGUUUUCUAUCUGUAUCACACUUGGUUAUAUGAAGUCACGCAAAAAAAAACAACGCACUAAUGAUUGUGGUCUUUUACUAAAUUGUUGGUUUUAUUCAGUUUUCAUGUAUCAUACCAUUCAUUAUAUGGGACUUUUUAAAGCCAGCAAUGACUCAAUGGCAAAAAAACCCUGCUUUCUUUCUUGACAAAUAUCAAUUAUACUUGAUAUUUAUACUUGUGUAGAUACUAUUUAAUGUAUUAAUAUACUAUUAUGGGGUUCUUUAGAAUUGUAAAUAAAGAAAGACAUCAAGAAUUCACCAAGAAAUGCCACUGAAAAGCUGAGAGCAUUCAUCAAUAUGUCACUACUGGCAGUAGGAUUUGAUUAAUUGCAGCCAACAAGCAUUUCAUAUGGUCCUCCCACUAGGGAUGGAUGAUUGCAUUAUUGUUUUUUUGUGUGACAGUUAACCUAUGAGCUCCCAUUUAGUUAGAUAUGGUACUAAGUUUCCAAAUGUGAGGAUUUCUUUGUUUUUAGUGUAGGUGGGUUUCCUCUUUUUCUUUUAGAAAGCUUAGAAAGGUUAGCACAACUCCUUGAGUCAGUCACUACUGUAUCUGCCCUUUUAAAAAGUCCUUUAGCUAGACUAAGAAUGUCUAGAAGUGUGGUGUGUUUGUGUAGUGACAUGUUUUUUAUGCUACAGCAUAUUGGUGAGGUUAAAGUGCUGACUCUUCCUUUUACUUUGAGAGUAUUUGCAUCCACAUCAGAUGAACGAUAGGGGGAUUGUAGCCCUUUCUAUACAUAGUCCCCAGUUUUAGGGGACAGAAAGUAUUUGGACUGCAGGUUUACAUAAAUUAAAUCAUCAUAUUUCAUAUUUGGUUGCAGCCAAUGGAGUGUUAAACUCUUUAUAAAUAAUAAAGAAUGUUUUCCCCCCCAGUAAUUAAUGUUACUGAGAAGAUUUGUACCAGCUAUUCAGGGGAUUUAACCUUCUAUGAGUCACUGUUCAACCGAUAGGGCAUUAGCACUAUGUAGAACAUUUAUGGACGGCUAGUCCUACAAAAAGUUACAUUAAUAUGAACAUGUACUAUUAACAGAUAGAGUCGUCCUGUCUCUCGUAAAAAUAAUCCAAGGUCAACUGAAACUUUAAAAAAUAUGGUGUCUCCCUACCUUCAAAGCAGUCUGACUGUCAAAGAGUGUAAUAAAUAUUUGAAAACUUUAUGUCCAAAGUCAUUGCAACGGUCUAUCAAUCAAAAAUAGUCCUUUUGCCUUAUUAUAAAUGUAAUCCAAAUGGGGAUACUGUCAAGA
Molecule: long non-coding RNA, 2312 nt
Organism: Siniperca chuatsi (mandarin fish)
Lineage: Eukaryota; Metazoa; Chordata; Actinopteri; Centrarchiformes; Sinipercidae
Exons: 2
Source: RefSeq, a predicted model, not a curated record